CCCGCCCCGCCCGGCACCGAGGGGGGGGGAACCGGAAACCAGGGGGCGACCGACCCCCCCAGGGGGGCUACCGGGGCGGGGGCGGGGCCCGACGGCAAGGCCGUGACGUCAGCGACCCCCCCGAUGACAUCAUCCGCCUCCCCGAUGACAUCAUCGACCCCCCCGAUGACAUCAUCAACAACGACGGCGACGACAACGUCAACGAUGACGUCGACGAUGACGUCAGCGCCCCCCGUGACGUCACCGAAGGCGUCGACGGCGGUGACAUCAUCAGGGCCCGCGGGGGCGUCGCCCGUGACGUCAUCGAAGACGCCAGUGACGUCAUCGGCGCCGUCUACGACGUCAUCGGCGCCGUCCAAGGCCGCGGUGACCUCAGCGGGGUCAUCAGUGACAUCAUCGGUGACGUCGAAGCCCUCGGUGACGUCACCAGGGCCGGCGGUGACAUCAGCGGCGUCGAAGGCAGCAGUGACAUCACCAGGGGCGGCGGUGACGUCAUCGAUGACAUCAGCAGCAGCGUCCAAGGCGGCGGUGACCUCAUCGGGGCCGGCGAUGACAUCAGCAGCGACGUCAAAGCCCGCAGUGACCUCAGCAGGGCCGUCAGUGACGUCAUUGAUGACAUCAGCAGCGGCGUCAAAGACCUCAGCGGGGCCGCCGAUGACGUCAUCAGUGACGUCAAAGCCCUCGGUGACCUCAUCGGGGCCGGCGGUGACAUCAUCGGUGACAUCACCCGGGACGUCACCAUCCGUGACGUCAUCCCUGACAUCAUCCGUGACGUCAACCUCAUCGAUGACAUCAUCGGUGACGUCAUCACCCGCAGCCACGCCCUCGAAGCCGCCGGCCCCGCCCUCCCCCGUCACAUCNNNNNNNNNNNNNNNNNNNNNNNNNNNNNNNNNNNNNNNNNNNNNNNGCCCCUCCCCUGUGGCCACCAACCUCACCAAGGCCCCCCCGGCCACCCCGGGGGCCACCAAGGUCGCUGUGGCUACCGGCGGCGCCCCCCGGGCUACUAACGUCACCCCUGUGGCUACUAACGUCACCCCCAAGGCCACCGUGGACGGCGGCGCCCCCGUGGCCACCAGCGGCGCCCCCGUGGCCACUAAUGUCACCCCCAAGGCCACCGCUGUCGCUGGCACCCCGGGGGCCACCAACGUCACCCCGGGGGCCACCAACGUCUCCGUGGCCACCAACGUCUCCAUGGGGGCCACCAACGUCUCCGUGGCCACCAACGCCACCCCGGGGGCCACCAACGUCUCCGUGGCCACCGUUGUCACCCCGGGGGCCACCAACGUCUCCGUGGGGGCUACUAACUCCACCGUGGCCACCGUUGUCACCCCAGGGGCCACCAAAGCCACCGUGGCCACCAACGCCACCCUGGGGGCCACCAACGCCACCGUGGCCACCACCCUCACCCCAGUGGCCACCAAAGCCACCGCAGGGGUCGCCGUGGACUCUGUCACCCCAGUGGCCACCAAAGCCACCCCGGGGGCCACUGUUGUCACCCCCGGGGCCACCGCUGUCACCCCCGUGGCCACCAGUGUCCCCUCCGUGGCCACCAGCGCUCCCAAGGCCACCCCUGCAGCCACCGUGGCCACCAGCGUCACCCCAGUGGCCACCAGCGUCGCCGUCGCUCCCAAGGCCACCAACGUCCCCACCGUGGCCACCAGUUUGACCAGUGGCCCCAGGGCCACCAACCUCUCUGCGGUGGCCACCAGCGUCCCCACCGUGGCCACCAGUGUCACCAGUAUCAACGCUGGAGCUACCGGUGCCACCUCCGUGGCCACCAACGUCCCCGCUGUGGCCACCAACCUCCCUGCUGUGGCCACCACCGUCCGCGCUGUGGCCACCAGUGUCACCAGUAUCAACGCUGGAGCUACUGGGGCCACCGCCGUGGCCACCAACGUCCCCAAUGUGGCCACCAGUAUGACCAGUGUCAAUGCUGGAGCUACUGGUGCCACCCCCGUGGCCACCAACGUCUCUGAUGUGGCCACCAACGUCCCCAAAGUGGCCACCAACGUCUCUGCUGUGGCCACCAGUAUGACCAGUAUCAACUCUGGAGCCACCCCCGUGGCCACCAACGUCUCUGAUGUGGCCACCAACGUCCCCAAAGUGGCCACCAGUGUCACCAGUGUCAACUCCGUGGCCACCACCGUCCCCGAAGUGGCCACCAGUGUCACCAGUGUCAACGCUGGAGCUACUGGGGCCACCGCUGUGGCCACCAACGACCCCAAAGUGGCCACCACCGUCUCCGAUGUGGCCACCACCGUCCCCAAAGUGGCCACCAGUGUCCCCAGUAUCAACUCUGGAGCUACUGGGGCCACCCCCGCCCCCUCCGUGGCCAGUGACGUCGCCCCCGUGGCCACCGGCCCCGCCCCGGCCCCGCCCCCUAAAGGCG
Molecule: long non-coding RNA, 2389 nt
Filed under: Calidris pugnax (ruff)
Lineage: Eukaryota; Metazoa; Chordata; Aves; Charadriiformes; Scolopacidae
Description: lncRNA (ENSCPUG00000008200.1)
Source: RNAcentral